RNAcentral lists this ribosomal RNA (253 nucleotides) under uncultured bacterium. RNAcentral describes it as "partial 16S ribosomal RNA". It matches the Rfam family "Bacterial small subunit ribosomal RNA", at positions 524 to 776 of the family's 1533-position model. The record is from RNAcentral.
UACAGAGGUCUCAAGCGUUGUUCGGAUUCAUUGGGCGUAAAGGGUGCGUAGGCGGCGCGGUAAGUCGGGUGUGAAAUCUCGGAGCUUAACUCCGAAACUGCAUUCGAUACUGCUGUGCUUGAGGACUGGAGAGGAGACUGGAAUUUACGGUGUAGCGGUGAAAUGCGUAGAUAUCUGGAGGAACACCGGUGGCGAAGGCGGCAUCCUGGACCGGUAUUGACGCUGAUGCGCGAAAGCCAGGGGAGCAAACGGG